RNAcentral lists this ribosomal RNA (449 nucleotides) under uncultured bacterium. RNAcentral's name for it is "partial 16S ribosomal RNA". It matches the Rfam family "Bacterial small subunit ribosomal RNA", at positions 354 to 795 of the family's 1533-position model. The record is from RNAcentral.
GUGGGGAAUUUUGGACAAUGGGCGCAAGCCUGAUCCAGCAAUGCCGCGUGCAGGAAGAAGGCCUUCGGGUUGUAAACUGCUUUUGUACGGAACGAAACGGUCCUGGUUAAUACCUGGGGCUAAUGACGGUACCGUAAGAAUAAGCACCGGCUAACUACGUGCCAGCAGCCGCGGUAAUACGUAGGGUGCGAGCGUUAAUCGGAAUUACUGGGCGUAAAGCGUGCGCAGGCGGUGCUGUAAGACAGGCGUGAAAUCCCCGGGCUCAACCUGGGAAUUGCGCUUGUGACUGCAGUGCUGGAGUACGGCAGAGGGGGAUGGAAUUCCGCGUGUAGCAGUGAAAUGCGUAGAUAUGCGGAGGAACACCGAUGGCGAAGGCAGUCCCCUGGGCCUGUACUGACGCUCAUGCACGAAAGCGUGGGGAGCAAACAGGAUUAGAAACCCGUGUAUCC